Molecule: long non-coding RNA, 969 nt
Filed under: Anser brachyrhynchus (Pink-footed goose)
Lineage: Eukaryota; Metazoa; Chordata; Aves; Anseriformes; Anatidae
Description: lncRNA (ENSABRG00000003634.1)
Source: RNAcentral
UGAUGAAAUGAGAUCAAUAUGUUUAUAUUCUAAACUCAGCAUUUCUUUUUAUAGUUCAGUGCAACCCCUAAUUUGGGGAUGAGGGGGUUAAUUCUACCCUAAUUACCUAAUUGUCUACCCAUGCUGAAACGAGCAAAGCAGCAGCACUGCACUUGACUGUAAAGUGGUGGAGAUUUUGACUCUGCUGGCACAUUGGAAGGCUUUUGGACCAUUGUGCAAAUUAUAGUAUAAUGCAAUACUCUAGCAGAAGUAAUUAUACCCAGCCUCUAUAAGCCCGGAAUUGCACAGAAUAAAGUUGGGCUUUUUAAUUUGGUCACAUAUAAUGUACGAAACGCAGUUCUUCUGAAGCUAAUGGAACCAGAGGGAGCAUUAUGAUUACGACUCUCUUAAUAUAUUUUUCCAUUUAAAAACUGGGGUCAGACUUGAAUAGAGCAAAAGGAUGAAGUAUGAUUUAAGUGCUGGAGACUGGCGUAGAGGAUAAUACGAAGGCAAAAACACAGUUAGUGUAUGCUGAGAAGGAGAUCCAUGUCUUUAUCACAGCACAAUGAUAAAUACCAGGAGGCAGAGAAAUACAGCAUUCCUAGAGAAAAAGAAGGUUCUUUGAAGCUCUCCAUAUGUCCAGGGCAACCAGAAAACCUCCAAGUGGAAUACAGGUCAGAUUGUUUUAACAACACUGAUAAUCCCUGGCAACUCAUUUUGUACCAGGACUCUGGUCCCUGGCACCAGACCACCUGUGCAGAGGCAGCAGCACCCUGUCACCCCCAGGAUCAACAGGAAACGCCACCCCCAUGCGGGCCAAGGAGGAAGGUUUGGGCGAAGAGGCCCCUCCUCACACCUGGAAUAGCUAUGGUUGCUUUGCUUAGCCUACUUUUCAACACCAGAGUAGGCAAAGCACUGCUAUCUCUUAUGGCUGGAGGAUGUCGUUGUGCGUGCUCUCGUGGCGUGGCUUCUCCUAUGAACAGGAAAUAA